AACGAACGCUGGCGGCGUGCUUAACACAUGUAAGUCGAACGAGAAAAUCCUUGGCUUUGCCAGGAUGAGUAAAGUGGCGCACGGGUGAGUAACACGUGAGUAAUCUGCCCCUAAGUUAGGAAUAACAUUGCGAAAGCGAUGCUAAUACCUGGUAAGCCCACGACUUCUUCGGUAGAUGUGGGAAAAGGUGGCCUCUGACAUAAGCUAUCACUUAGGGAUGAGCUCGCGGACCAUUAGCUUGUUGGUAGGGUAAUGGCCUACCAAGGCGAUGAUGGUUAGCUGGCCUGAGAGGGUGGCCAGCCACACUGGAACUGAGACACGGUCCAGACUCCUACGGAGGCAGCAGUGGGGAAUCUUGCGCAAUGGGGGAAACCCUGACGCAGCAACGCCGCGUGAGUGACGAAGGCCUUCGGGUCGUAAAGCUCUGUCAGAUGGAAAGAAUUAGUUCGCUGAAAAUAUUGGCGAGUGAUGACGGUACCAUCAGAGGAAGCACCGGCUAACUCCGUGCCAGCAGCCGCGGUAA
This 523-nucleotide ribosomal RNA is filed under the name uncultured prokaryote. Its description in RNAcentral is "bacterial SSU rRNA". It matches the Rfam family "Bacterial small subunit ribosomal RNA", at positions 29 to 523 of the family's 1533-position model. The record is from RNAcentral.